UGCAGUCGAGCGAACAGACAAGGAGCUUGCUCCUUUGACGUUAGCGGCGGACGGGUGAGUAACACGUGGGUAACCUACCUAUAAGACUGGGAUAACUUCGGGAAACCGGAGCUAAUACCGGAUAAUAUUUCGAACCGCAUGGUUCGAUAGUGAAAGAUGGUUUUGCUAUCACUUAUAGAUGGACCCGCGCCGUAUUAGCUAGUUGGUAAGGUAACGGCUUACCAAGGCGACGAUACGUAGCCGACCUGAGAGGGUGAUCGGCCACACUGGAACUGAGACACGGUCCAGACUCCUACGGGAGGCAGCAGUAGGGAAUCUUCCGCAAUGGGCGAAAGCCUGACGGAGCAACGCCGCGUGAGUGAUGAAGGUCUUCGGAUCGUAAAACUCUGUUAUUAGGGAAGAACAUACGUGUAAGUAACUAUGCACGUCUUGACGGUACCUAAUCAGAAAGCCACGGCUAACUACGUGCCAGCAGCCGCGGUAAUACGUAGGUGGCAAGCGUUAUCCGGAAUUAUUGGGCGUAAAGCGCGCGUAGGCGGUUUUUUAAGUCUGAUGUGAAAGCCCACGGCUCAACCGUGGAGGGUCAUUGGAAACUGGAAAACUUGAGUGCAGAAGAGGAAAGUGGAAUUCCAUGUGUAGCGGUGAAAUGCGCAGAGAUAUGGAGGAACACCAGUGGCGAAGGCGACUUUCUGGUCUGUAACUGACGCUGAUGUGCGAAAGCGUGGGGAUCAAACAGGAUUAGAUACCCUGGUAGUCCACGCCGUAAACGAUGAGUGCUAAGUGUUAGGGGGGUUUCCGCCCCUUAGUGCUGCAGCUAACGCAUUA
This 825-nucleotide ribosomal RNA is filed under the name Staphylococcus haemolyticus. Its description in RNAcentral is "bacterial SSU rRNA". It matches the Rfam family "Bacterial small subunit ribosomal RNA", at positions 56 to 862 of the family's 1533-position model. Lineage: Bacteria; Bacillati; Bacillota; Bacilli; Caryophanales; Staphylococcaceae. The record is from RNAcentral.